This 487-nucleotide ribosomal RNA is filed under the name Mycobacterium kumamotonense. RNAcentral's name for it is "Mycolicibacter kumamotonensis bacterial SSU rRNA". It matches the Rfam family "Bacterial small subunit ribosomal RNA", at positions 31 to 519 of the family's 1533-position model. Lineage: Bacteria; Bacillati; Actinomycetota; Actinomycetes; Mycobacteriales; Mycobacteriaceae. The record is from RNAcentral.
GAACGCUGGCGGCGUGCUUAACACAUGCAAGUCGAACGGAAAGGCCCUUUCGGGGGUACUCGAGUGGCGAACGGGUGAGUAACACGUGGGUGAUCUGCCCUGCACUCUGGGAUAAGCCUGGGAAACUGGGUCUAAUACCGGAUAGGACCAUGGGAUGCAUGUUCUGUGGUGGAAAGCUUUUGCGGUGUGGGAUGGGCCCGCGGCCUAUCAGCUUGUUGGUGGGGUGAUGGCCUACCAAGGCGACGACGGGUAGCCGGCCUGAGAGGGUGUCCGGCCACACUGGGACUGAGAUACGGCCCAGACUCCUACGGGAGGCAGCAGUGGGGAAUAUUGCACAAUGGGCGCAAGCCUGAUGCAGCGACGCCGCGUGGGGGAUGACGGCCUUCGGGUUGUAAACCUCUUUCAGUAUCGGCGAAGCUCCCGGAUUUUGCUGGGGGUGACGGUAGGUACAGAAGAAGCACCGGCCAACUACGUGCCAGCAGCGGGG